GAUGAACGCUGGCGGCGUGCUUAACACAUGCAAGUCGAACGGGAAUUAUUUUAUUGAAACUUCGGUCGAUUUAAUUUACUUCUAGUGGCGGACGGGUGAGUAACGCGUGGGUAACCUGCCUUAUACAGGGGGAUAACAGUCAGAAAUGGCUGCUAAUACCGCAUAAGCGCACAGAGCUGCAUGGCUCAGUGUGAAAAACUCCGGUGGUAUAAGAUGGACCCGCGUUGGAUUAGCUGGUUGGGGGGGUAACGGCCCACCAAGGCGACGAUCCAUAGCCGGCCUGAGAGGGUGAACGGCCACAUUGGGACUGAGACACGGCCCAGACUCCUACGGGAGGCAGCAGUGGGGAAUAUUGCACAAUGGGGGAAACCCUGAUGCAGCGACGCCGCGUGAAGGAAGAAGUAUCUCGGUAUGUAAACUUCUAUCAGCAGGGAAGAUAGUGACGGUACCUGACUAAGAAGCCCCGGCUAACUACGUG
Molecule: ribosomal RNA, 478 nt
Filed under: uncultured bacterium
Lineage: Bacteria
Description: partial 16S ribosomal RNA
Rfam family: Bacterial small subunit ribosomal RNA
Source: RNAcentral